GCGUGAGUGAUGAAGGCCUUAGGGUUGUAAAGCUCUUUUGUCCGGGAAGAUAAUGACGGUACCGGAAGAAUAAGCCCCGGCUAACCUCGUGCCAGCAGCCGCGGUAAUACGAGGGGGGCUAGCGUUGUUCGGAAUCACUGGGCGUAAAGCGCACGUAGGCGGUCUAUUAAGUCAGGGGUGAAAUCCCAGAGCUCAACUCUGGAACUGCCUUUGAUACUGGUAGGCUAGAGUGUGGAAGAGGUUGGUGGAACUCCGAGUGUAGAGGUGAAAUUCGU
Molecule: ribosomal RNA, 275 nt
Filed under: uncultured bacterium
Lineage: Bacteria
Description: partial 16S ribosomal RNA
Rfam family: Bacterial small subunit ribosomal RNA
Source: RNAcentral